Molecule: ribosomal RNA, 574 nt
Filed under: Cercospora sp. MC24-2
Lineage: Eukaryota; Fungi; Ascomycota; Dothideomycetes; Mycosphaerellales; Mycosphaerellaceae
Description: eukaryotic LSU rRNA
Rfam family: 5.8S ribosomal RNA (bases 176-329)
Source: RNAcentral
UCCGCUAGUGAACUGCAGAGGGAUCAUUACUGAGUGAGGGCCUUCGGGCUCGACCUCCAACCCUUUGUGAACACAACUUGUUGCUUCGGGGGCGACCCUGCCGUUUCGACGGCGAGCGCCCCCGGAGGCCUUCAAACACUGCAUCUUUGCGUCGGAGUUUAAGUAAAUUAAACAAAACUUUCAACAACGGAUCUCUUGGUUCUGGCAUCGAUGAAGAACGCAGCGAAAUGCGAUAAGUAAUGUGAAUUGCAGAAUUCAGUGAAUCAUCGAAUCUUUGAACGCACAUUGCGCCCUUUGGUAUUCCGAAGGGCAUGCCUGUUCGAGCGUCAUUUCACCACUCAAGCCUAGCUUGGUAUUGGGCGCCGCGGUGUUCCGCGCGCCUCAAAGUCUCCGGCUGAGCUGUCCGUCUCUAAGCGUUGUGAUUUCAUUAAUCGCUUCGGAGCGCGGGCGGUCGCGGCCGUUAAAUCUUUCACAAGGUUGACCUCGGAUCAGGUAGGGAUACCCGCUGAACUUAAGCAUAUCAAUAAGCGGAGGAAAAGAAACCAACAGGGAUUGCCCUAGUACGGNNGGGGGA